UACAGAGGUCUCAAGCGUUGUUCGGAUUCAUUGGGCGUAAAGGGUGCGUAGGCGGCGAGCUAAGUCGGGUGUGAAAUUUCGGAGCUUAACUCCGAAACUGCAUUCGAUACUGGCUUGCUUGAGGACUGGAGAGGAGACUGGAAUUCAUGGUGUAGCAGUGAAAUGCGUAGAGAUCAUGAGGAAGACCAGUGGCGAAGGCGGGUCUCUGGACAGUUCCUGACGCUGAGACACGAAGGCCAGGGGAGCAAACGGG
This 253-nucleotide ribosomal RNA is filed under the name uncultured bacterium. RNAcentral's name for it is "partial 16S ribosomal RNA". It matches the Rfam family "Bacterial small subunit ribosomal RNA", at positions 524 to 776 of the family's 1533-position model. The record is from RNAcentral.